UCCGUAGGUGAACCUGCGGAGGGAUCAUUUUUGAGUGUAGCUCGGUUCUGUCUGACAGGCUGACGCUGCUUUGCCUCGGCUAGCGAUGCUGGUAGGUUGUUUGUCGUACGCGGCGAGCACCUGCUAGCUACGCUUCGCGACUGUCUUGUACAGUUGCGUAAGAAAUACCUUCUUGCGCUUCGGCGCCCCUUUUUUGUUUGUCAUACCUAGACUAAUGUGUAGAAACUGUGAAUACUAAAAGUAUUACUCUAAACGGUGGAUCACUCGGGUCAUGUAUCGAUGAAGAACGCAGCGAAAUGCGAUAGCUGGCGUGAAAUGCAGAAAUCUGUGAACGUUGAAUUUUCGAACCUAAAUGGGUCAGACAGUUUAUUCUGUCUGAACGUUCGUUUGAAUGCUGGAUAGUUACUAAAGCUAAACUGCUACUCCGGUAACAGCGAGGCUAUGCCAUGGCUAUUCUGUUGGCGAUUGGGUCGAUGGAUGGCUGAAUUCACUUGUCGUUUCGACGACAACCGGUAAGGUGGCUAGCUUGCGUAUGCAGCUAGUGUCUCUGGUGAUUUUUCUUGAGGCUCUACUGCAGCUUUGCGCUUUGCACGGCUCACCUUCAACCUAUCAGCUUCAAAUCGAGCGAGGCUACCCGCUGAAUUUAAGCAUAUCAAUA
Molecule: ribosomal RNA, 658 nt
Filed under: uncultured eukaryote
Lineage: Eukaryota
Description: eukaryotic LSU rRNA
Rfam family: 5.8S ribosomal RNA (bases 245-397)
Source: RNAcentral